GCAAAAACAGUUGGCUAAAUUUGGCUUUGGCACCAAAAUAUUUCGAUUUGAUAAAAAAAUGUUUUUUUCUUAAGUAAUUUCCUUGGUGGUGAUGAUAACAACGUACACGUCCAUCCUCUUCCAAACUCAGAUCUCGCCGGUCGUUUCGUCUAGCAGUGGCACCACCAUCACCGUCAGAGCCACCAAUCCCUCCGGAUCUGUCAUCUCCUUUAUGCUUCUGUUCGUAAAACUUGUAGUUUUGGAUCUCAACCUCGGUUUGUCGACUCUGUUCCAACUCAAAGAGUGGCUCCUAACCUUAACUUGUUUACUCCGUGUCUGUCAGUCGGCGGCUUCGUUUCUGCUCCCCAGAACUUCGUGAUUUGUUAUCCAAGCCAAAUCGGAACAUCGGAGAAAUCUGUGGAGAUUAUGAAGAAGUUACUCGGAGCAGUAUGGUCGUCGCUCAGGGACUUACUUCUGUCGUCAUCAAGGUUUGAUAAUUAACCUUCAAAGAUUAUAUGAUUUUGGAGGAGAUUGCUUCUUCUACUUGUAGAUAAUGAUUUGCCAGAAGAAGAUUUAGCGUUGUUUUCUUGAUGUAUACAGUAGCUAUUUGAUAUCUUAAUGUGGAAUUUUGUUGCAUAUGUGGUGUUUUUUUGUCUAAAGUAACUAUCUUUCUGCGUUGAUUAUAAACUACUUGGAGAAGAAAUUGAGCUAGUUCAUGUGAAGAACUUGAAAUCUAACUGAUGAAGUUGCUGAGUUUUCUUCUUCUAAUAGUGAAUGAGUCUGCAGAAGAAACUGAGUUGGUAUUAGGGCAUUAUUUUUAAAGAGCAUUUGUAAUUUUAAAUAUCAAUUCAACAAAGUCUGAUAUAUGUUAUUUUUGGUGUACACAUUUUGAUGAUAAAGCUGCAGAGGUUAAACAGGGCUCCUGGAACUCUCCUUGUGUUCCAAUGAGAGAGAGUUCCAGAAGUGUCGUUUGCCUUCUCGGAUCAUAUCCAACACCCAGGUAAAGUGAUCCUCCCUAUCUUAGGGUUCUUCAGGAAGGGACCACACGAGAGAGACGACUACAGCAACGCAGCCGAAGAAGACCAUGCCGAAGGAUGAGAGGAAGAAGAGGUGAAUCACGUGAUGGCUCCACCAAGUCACCUCCUAGAUUCUGAGAUACCCAAAAACCUAAAUCAGAAACAGGAUAAACAGAAGAUGAAGAACAUCAGGAGACAUAGAGAAGAGAGAAGGGGCGAAGGCAGAUGAAUAAGAAGGUGAACAAGGCAUAGGAGCUUAAAGGAGGUGGAGGUAAGGCGAAAUCGGAGCUCUGUAGUGAUGGAGAUGGCGUCUAUGACAACCAUGAAAGGAGGAGAGAGUAGCGGCUUAAAGUUAGGCUUUUGGAAAACUAGGUUUCAUAGAUGGAUGUUGUGUGGCGGAGGAGGCAGAGCGGAGGAGGCAUGCGAAGUAGUUAGGUUUUUUUUCCAGAUUUAGUUCUUAAACCGGUUUAAUUUGUAAACCGAAAAUAUUUGUAAUCUGGUUUAAUUUAUAAACCGAAAUCAGUUGUAAACCGAUUUUUUAAU
Brassica oleracea var. oleracea is the source of this 1538-nucleotide RNA transcript. RefSeq lists it as uncharacterized. The transcript is spliced from 4 exons. Lineage: Eukaryota; Viridiplantae; Streptophyta; Magnoliopsida; Brassicales; Brassicaceae. The record is from RefSeq and is a predicted model, not a curated record.